This 484-nucleotide ribosomal RNA is filed under the name uncultured bacterium. RNAcentral's name for it is "partial 16S ribosomal RNA". It matches the Rfam family "Bacterial small subunit ribosomal RNA", at positions 30 to 507 of the family's 1533-position model. The record is from RNAcentral.
AUUGAACGCUGGCGGCAUGCUUUACACAUGCAAGUCGAGCGGCAGCGCGGCCUUCGGGCUGGCGGCGAGCGUCGAACGGGUGAGUAAUGCAUCGGAACAUGCCCAGUCGGGGGGGAUAACACCUCGAAAGAAGUGCUAAUACCGCAUACGUCCUGAGGGUGAAAGCGAGGGAUCGCAAGACCUUGUGCGAUUGGAGUGGUCGACGUCAGGUUGGCUAGUUUGUGGGGUAAGGGCCUUCCUAGGCGGCGAUUUGUGGGUGGUCUGAGAGGAUGAUAGGCCACACUGGGACUGGGACACGCCCCAUAGUCCUACGGGAGGCAGCAGUGGGUAAUUUUGGGCAAUGGGGGCAACCCUGAUCCAGCCAUUCGGCGUGAGUGAAGACGACCUUGCGGUUGUAAAGCUCUUUCGGCAGGAACAAAACGGUGUGCUCUAACAUAGACCGUUAAUGACGGUACCUGAAGAAGAAGCACCGGCUAACUACGUG